CUGAAAAUAGAUAAGUGGAAUACAAUCUUGACUCCUGGUAUAUUUCUUACAGAAUUAUAUAUUGUUACGGCUGAAUGAUAGAUUACCUGAUAAUGGUAGACGUUUCGCGUCACAUACUGACGCGGCUUUUUUAAUGUAUACACAUGCGCUCCAGAACCCGAUGUAGAGAUCGAUUUACAUAAAUCUUUGGUUUAAUGUUUCAUGUUAGUCGAUGGGUAGCAUUGCAUAGAUUGAACAUUUUGCAUUUUAUUCAAAAAAAUAUUAUUAAUAGAUAUGUAAAAAUGUGCAAUGUGAUGUCAAAUUUGCAUGAUCCCACCCUCUACGUUAUUUAUCAUCACAAAUCUACUGCUAUAUCCCUUCCCUUCAAGUAGAAAUGAUUCAUCCAAUCAUACAAUUCUUCGAUUUAUUCGAUUCUUUGAUUCAUUUGAUUCAAACGAUUCUUCGAUUCAAAUGAAUCAAAUGAUCGAAUCAAAUGAAUCGAUUCAUUUAAACGAAUUGAAUCAAAUGAAUCGAUUCAUUGAAAAGAAUCAUUUUGCCCAUCACUACCAGUGAGUACUCUUGCAUGCUAAUAAUACCACACAGAACAGUGAAUCGACUUCAACUUGCAGCAUUUGAUAUCUUCUGCAGUGAGAGCAAACAAUUCCUAUGGCACAUAGUGGCAGGAGACGAAACAUGUCACCAGUUUGAGGCAGAAAGGAAGUCCAUCAGCUUGUAGUCGAAGAAUGCCAGCUCGCUCAUGCUAAGAAAUUGAAAAAAACAGCAGUCAUCAGAAAAGAUUAUGUUGACUCAUUCUUCAACAUUCAGGAAUCCAUCUUACUGGAGUUUAAGAAAUCCAACACCACAAUCAAUGCAUAACAGUACACCCAUCACUCAAUAUCUGCAUAAGGCUAUCAAAAACAAGUGACCUGGCUUGCUGUUUUCACGAGUCAUCAUUCUUCA
Molecule: long non-coding RNA, 939 nt
Filed under: Androctonus crassicauda
Lineage: Eukaryota; Metazoa; Arthropoda; Arachnida; Scorpiones; Buthidae
Source: RNAcentral